Mauremys reevesii (Reeves's turtle) is the source of this 247-nucleotide long non-coding RNA. RefSeq lists it as uncharacterized. The transcript is spliced from 3 exons. The record is from RefSeq and is a predicted model, not a curated record. Lineage: Eukaryota; Metazoa; Chordata; Testudines; Geoemydidae.
GGAACGGAAGUGACGUCAGCGGUCUGGAGACCGCCCGUGUUUGCAGAGGAAUUGUCCAGGAGCUGGAGCCGGAGGAGAAACUGGAAGAAGUGAACCUGAGCAGCCUUGAUAUCCUUGUAAGCAGAGAUGAAGAGUCCUCAGCUUUCUGCCUUCUCCAUGACUGGCUUACCACGGAGAAAGAAGUGAAGGGUAAGAGCCCACCCCAACUGUGAGAUGGAAGGUGCCCAAGAGCCGUGAGACAGUGAGC